UACGGGGGAGCAAGCGUUGUUCGGAUUUACUGGGCGUAAAGGGCGCGUAGGCGGCCACCGCAAGUCGACUGUGAAAUCUCCGGCUACCCGGAAAGGUCAGCCGAUACUGCGGGCUAGAGUGCAGAAGGGCAACUGGAAUUCUCGGUGUAGCGGUGAAAUGCGUAGAUAUCGAGAGGAACACCUGCGGCGAAGGCGGUUGCUGGCUCGACACUGACGCUGAUGCGCGAAAGCUAGGGAGCGACGG
This 244-nucleotide ribosomal RNA is filed under the name uncultured bacterium. RNAcentral describes it as "partial 16S ribosomal RNA". It matches the Rfam family "Bacterial small subunit ribosomal RNA", at positions 524 to 774 of the family's 1533-position model. The record is from RNAcentral.